CAGCUCGUGUCGUGAGAUGUUGGGUUAAGUCCCGCAACGAGCGCAACCCUCGACCUUAGUUGCCAGCAUUCAGUUGGGCACUCUAAGGUGACUGCCGGCUAAAAGUCGGAGGAAGGUGGGGAUGACGUCAAAUCAUCAUGCCCCUUAUGACCUGGGCUACACACGUGCUACAAUGGGCGGUACAAAGGGUCGCGAACCCGCGAGGGGGAGCCAAUCCCAAAAAGCCGCUCUCAGUUCGGAUUGCAGGCUGCAACUCGCCUGCAUGAAGCCGGAAUCGCUAGUAAUCGCGGAUCAGCAUGCCGCGGUGAAUACGUUCCCGGGCCUU
RNAcentral lists this ribosomal RNA (325 nucleotides) under uncultured Anoxybacillus sp. RNAcentral describes it as "bacterial SSU rRNA". It matches the Rfam family "Bacterial small subunit ribosomal RNA", at positions 1056 to 1382 of the family's 1533-position model. Lineage: Bacteria; Bacillati; Bacillota; Bacilli; Caryophanales; Anoxybacillaceae. The record is from RNAcentral.